GGUCCGGUUGAAUUGGUGCAAGGAGCAUGUGAGAUGGACACCCGAGCAGUGGAAGUCAGUGAUUUUCUCGGAUGAGAAGAAAUUCAUCCUGCGUGUGGCUGAUGGGAUGGAAACUGUUGGACAUGAGGAAGAUCCAGACUGUUUGGUGAUGAGAUUCCCCACCAGCCAGUUGAUAUGGGGCUGCAUUUCUUAUCGUGGAGUAGGUCGCCUGCAGUUUAUAAAUGGAUCUUUAAAUGCCAGUGGGUACCUGGCAAUACUGGAAGAAAAGCUGCUGCCAACCAUUAGGGACCACUUCAACCUGCCAAAUGGCUGCAUCUUUCAGAAAGACUCUGCUGCCUGUCAUCGGGCUAAAAGUGUGAAGAAAUGGCUGGAGGAGCGGUCCAUUACAACCCUAAAAUGGCCAGGAUACAGCCCGGACCUUAAUCCUGUAGAGAACUGUUGGCAUCUUCUGGCAUCUGCAGUUGGCAGAAAGAGACCAAAGACACUUCAUGAACUUCAGGAAGCCAUCGUUCAUGUUUGGAACAACGAACUCUCCCUUGACUAUGUUCAGAAAUUGAUCUUGUCAAUGCCUCAGAGGUGUGCUGCUGUCAUCAGGGCCAGAGGCAGUUCGAUUAAGUUUGUGCCUGCAUGGUGACGUUUACAUGUUGAACUGAAAGAACUUCCUUGAGGAUUUCUAAUAAUAUUUUAGUCGUAAAUGCUGUGUUUACCACAGAUGUUGUAUCUUUGCUUUAAAUAUUAACAGGGGCAGAGACAAGGGGUGGCCCGGGGGUGCCCAUCGGACUACAAUCUUGCCACCCUUCCGGCCACGUCACGCAAUCAGCAGUGAAGUCUGUUAGAACGCUCUGCACAUACUCAGAGUUAUUUCAGAACUCUAAUGUAGUUUAAAUGGUAAUCUCAACAAUUAAAAGAGCAUAAUGUUGAGUAACCAAAUCCAAAUCUUUUUUUAUAAAUCAGUUCAGGGUUACAUUUUUUUUAAAUGGGACUAUUUGAAUUCCAGAGAUUUGAGAUGAGGGCUUCAGCCUGGCCACCCCUCAUGACAAUGUCUGAGUCUGUUGCUGACUAAUAAUAAAUAUGUUUUGUUUGUA
Molecule: long non-coding RNA, 1085 nt
Organism: Stegastes partitus (bicolor damselfish)
Lineage: Eukaryota; Metazoa; Chordata; Actinopteri; Pomacentridae
Exons: 2
Source: RefSeq, a predicted model, not a curated record